GCUCAUCCACACAUUCUUUCAUUCAGCACUCACCUCUUUAACCUGAGCGCUGUUUGGGGCGCUGAGAACCAGGGCAAGUCCAGCCCAGUCCUGCCUUCCAGAUUCUUGUAUUCUAGAAUCCCAGCUACCCUGACUCAGGGCCCAGCAACAGGGGCGCUUACACAGCCCCAUCAGACAUCAACUACCCGUUUCUAUGGCUCUGCUGGGGGCCCUGCUCCCCUGCCUUCCCCCUUCUACCCUGUAUAGGUUUACCUGUCUCAGGCUUGGAGUACUCCAGGCACAGCACCUCAGCAUCAUGGGCUUCCACUUUGACCAGCUCAUCCAUGAAGUGUAGCUCGUGGAUCCUGGGAGACAUACUGUCCACUGUACCCUACCCAGAGCCCCCGCCCCUCGGCUCUAGGUGCUCUGCCACUGCUAGAGAAUGUCAGAAUGUUGCCCGCGAGGCAACAUGGGGGACUCUCUGCCCUGGCCAGCUAGUCGAGAGAUGCCUAACCAUUCUUUUCCUCUAGAAACCUGCUUUCUCAAAGGCUAUCUAGGAUGAUAUAAGAGCCAGUUAUCCCAGGUCCUCCACUCUAGCUGUGUGACCUUAGCUUAGCCACCGGCCUCUCCUGCCUCAUUAACCUAUCUGGACAUGGAGCUAAUACCAGCACUUGCAUCAGAGAGAGCAGCAGACAUAGGCAGAGGGAGAAGCAGGCUCCCUGCAGGGAGCCCGACGUGGGACUCAAUCUCAGGACCCCGGGACCACGCCCCAAACCAAAGGCAGACACUCAACCACUGAGCACCCAGGAGCCCCCAGAACUCCAAAUUUAACCUUCUCUACUGAGAAUAACUGUUUCCUACCCUCCCCUGCAGCUAGAUGAGGCUCUGUGAAUAAAUUCUGGUCAAUGAGAUAUAAAACAAGUGAGAACCCUUCUGCUUCCUUUUCCUUUGUUCUUCUACCUGGAGCUCUAGCAGCCAUAUUGGAUGACAUGGUCAAGGGCUACUCCAAAAUGACAGAGUGGAGAGCUGAAGGCUCUUGGGUCUCUAAGGACUUCCUAUA
Canis lupus familiaris (dog) is the source of this 1039-nucleotide long non-coding RNA. RefSeq lists it as uncharacterized. The transcript has 3 exons. The record is from RefSeq and is a predicted model, not a curated record. NCBI's taxonomy places the organism in Eukaryota, Metazoa, Chordata, Mammalia, Carnivora, Canidae.